CUACGGGACGCAGCAGUGGGGAAUCUUAGACAAUGGGGGCAACCCUGAUCUAGCCAUGCCGCGUGAGUGAUGAAGGCCUUAGGGUCGUAAAGCUCUUUCGCCUGUGAUGAUAAUGACAGUAGCAGGUAAAGAAACCCCGGCUAACUCGCGUGCCAGCAGCCGCGGUAAUACGGAGGGGGUUAGCGUUGUUCGGAAUUACUGGGCGUAAAGCGCGCGUAGGCGGAUUAGAAAGUUGGGGGUGAAAUCCCGGGGCUCAACCUCGGAACUGCCUCCAAAAUUGCUAGUCUAGAGUUCGAGAGAGGUGAGUGGAAUUCCGAGUGUAGAGGUGAAAUUCGUAGAUAUUCGGAGGAACACCAGUGGCGAAGGCGGCUCACUGGCUCGAUACUGACGCUGAGGUGCGAAAGUGUGGGGAGCAAACAGGAUUAGAUACCCCCGUAGUC
RNAcentral lists this ribosomal RNA (440 nucleotides) under uncultured bacterium. Its description in RNAcentral is "partial 16S ribosomal RNA". It matches the Rfam family "Bacterial small subunit ribosomal RNA", at positions 339 to 795 of the family's 1533-position model. The record is from RNAcentral.